Long non-coding RNA from Oncorhynchus kisutch (coho salmon), 1551 nucleotides. The record is from Ensembl. Lineage: Eukaryota; Metazoa; Chordata; Actinopteri; Salmoniformes; Salmonidae.
AUGUAUCUCUGUAGUUUUAUAGCAUCUACCUGUACUAUUAGUUCAUGUAUCUCUGUAGUUUUUAUAGCAUCUACCUGUACUAUUAGUUCAUGUAUCUCUGUAGUUUUUAUAGCAUCUACCUGUACUAUUAGUUCAUGUAUCUCUGUAGUUUUUAUAGCAUCUACCUGUACUAUUAGUUCAUGUAUCUCUGUAGUUUUUAUAGCAUCUACCUGUACUAUUAGUUCAUGUAUCUCUGUAGUUUUUAUAGCAUCUACCUGUACUAUUAGUUCAUGUAUCUCUGUAGUUUUUAUAGCAUCUACCUGUACUAUUAGUUCAUGUAUCUCUGUAGUUUUUAUAGCAUCUACCUGUACUAUUAGUUCAUGUAUCUCUGUAGUUUUUAUAGCAUCUACCUGUACUAUUAGUUCAUGUAUCUCUGUAGUUUUUAUAGCAUCUACCUGUACUAUUAGUUCAUGUAUCUCUGUAGUUUUUAUAGCAUCUACCUGUACUAUUAGUUCAUGUAUCUCUGUAGUUUUUAUAGCAUCUACCUGUACUAUUAGUUCAUGUAUCUCUGUAGUUUUUAUAGCAUCUACCUGUACUAUUAGUUCAUGUAUCUCUGUAGUUUUUAUAGCAUCUACCUGUACUAUUAGUUCAUGUAUCUCUGUAGUUUUUAUAGCAUCUACCUGUACUAUUAGUUCAUGUAUCUCUGUAGUUUUUAUAGCAUCUACCUGUACUAUUAGUUCAUGUAUCUCUGUAGUUUUUAUAGCAUCUACCUGUACUAUUAGUUCAUGUAUCUCUGUAGUUUUUAUAGCAUCUACCUGUACUAUUAGUUCAUGUAUCUCUGUAGUUUUUAUAGCAUCUACCUGUACUAUUAGUUCAUGUAUCUCUGUAGUUUUUAUAGCAUCUACCUGUACUAUUAGUUCAUGUAUCUCUGUAGUUUUUAUAGCAUCUACCUGUACUAUUAGUUCAUGUAUCUCUGUAGUUUUUAUAGCAUCUACCUGUACUAUUAGUUCAUGUAUCUCUGUAGUUUUUAUAGCAUCUACCUGUACUAUUAGUUCAUGUAUCUCUGUAGUUUUUAUAGCAUCUACCUGUACUAUUAGUUCAUGUAUCUCUGUAGUUUUUAUAGCAUCUACCUGUACUAUUAGUUCAUGUAUCUCUGUAGUUUUUAUAGCAUCUACCUGUACUAUUAGUUCAUGUAUCUCUGUAGUUUUUAUAGCAUCUACCUGUACUAUUAGUUCAUGUAUCUCUGUAGUUUUUAUAGCAUCUACCUGUACUAUUAGUUCAUGUAUCUCUGUAGUUUUUAUAGCAUCUACCUGUACUAUUAGUUCAUGUAUCUCUGUAGUUUUUAUAGCAUCUACCUGUACUAUUAGUUCAUGUAUCUCUGUAGUUUUUAUAGCAUCUACCUGUACUAUUAGUUCAUGUAUCUCUGUAGUUUUUAUAGCAUCUACCUGUACUAUUAGUUCAUGUAUCUCUGUAGUUUUUAUAGCAUCUACCUGUACUAUUAGUUCAUGUAUCUCUGUAGUUUUUAUAGCAUCUACCUGUACUAUUAGUUCAUGUAUCUCUGUAGUUUUAUAG